UACCCUCCCUCCAUCUGAUGGCCCUUGGGGACACCCCCAUCAUGGUGCUCGCCAGGAGACGGGGAGAGUUUCAAGCCUCAAAAGAUCGAGCUGCAACCGUUGCUGUUGGAUCUCCGCGGCUGGCUGCGAUGAAUCCGAGCCGGCAGGGCCCAUUUGUAAGCAAUUUACCUCAAGAAUUUGGCAGUCGAAAUCCAAGCAGCUUUACUGGGCGAGUAAGUCACGCUGCGUGUUUCCGCGUCGCCUGUGGAUGAACGCGACUUGUUGAGUGAGGAGAGUUUCUGUCUUCCCGAGGAUCCCGGCGCUGGCGUGGCAGGCAGACGUGGGAACGGGCAUCAGAGGAACCCCUCUGCCCAGGGCAGCCGUCUGAUGUCUUCUCCUGUCUCCCAGACCAACAAACCCUCCUCUGGAAGGACUCUGGGGCAGCAGGAAUAUUUUGAUCAUGAAGACUUAAAUAUGUUUUCUGAUGUUUUGGAACGAGGACGGAGCUGUGGCUGUGGCUACUCCCACCACCCGCCUGUCCUCCUCCGAACGACUCCGCCGGGAUCAAAGCCUGCCUGAACCUUUUCCAUAUGCCCUGCUCCUCUCUGCCGGGCCCCUCGGCCAGGUGGCUUUUCCCAGCCUUUUCACAGACCUCCCACUUCUAAAAGAAACGCAAUAAAGCUGGGCCAGAGAAGCAAUUAGGAAGCAGCUCCCUCAUCACACCUUCUCGUGGGCUGUCCUAGGAAGGAGCGACGAAACCCAGCGAGCAUGGCACGGGGCUCGGUGUUUGGGUGACCUUCACCCGGCUGGCUGUGCCACACCAUCCGCGUACGUGCCACACCACGGGCCACAUCCUCGCCACCACGGGUGAUGUGGGUGUUUGCAGCGGUGGAGCUUUUUCUGGCCACGAAAGGUUUUUUUGGUCGA
Grus americana (Whooping crane) is the source of this 906-nucleotide long non-coding RNA. RefSeq lists it as uncharacterized. The record is from RefSeq and is a predicted model, not a curated record. Lineage: Eukaryota; Metazoa; Chordata; Aves; Gruiformes; Gruidae. The transcript is spliced from 3 exons.